RNAcentral lists this non-coding RNA (28 nucleotides) under Cricetulus griseus (Chinese hamster). The record is from RNAcentral. Lineage: Eukaryota; Metazoa; Chordata; Mammalia; Rodentia; Cricetidae.
ACCGCUGUGUUACUGGUGAGCUCAAGAG